UACAGAGGUCCCGAGCGUUGUUCGGAAUUACUGGGCGUAAAGGGCUCGUAGGUGGCCAACUAAGUCAGACGUGAAAUCCCUCAGCUUAACUGGGGAACUGCGUCUGAUACUGGAUGGCUUGGAUUCGGGAGAGGAAUGCGGAAUUCCAGGUGUAGCGGUGAAAUGCGUAGAUAUCUGGAGGAACACCGGUGGCGAAGGCGGCAUUCUGGACCGACAUUGACGCUGAGGAGCGAAAGCCAGGGGAGCAAACGGG
RNAcentral lists this ribosomal RNA (253 nucleotides) under uncultured bacterium. Its description in RNAcentral is "partial 16S ribosomal RNA". It matches the Rfam family "Bacterial small subunit ribosomal RNA", at positions 524 to 776 of the family's 1533-position model. The record is from RNAcentral.